Molecule: ribosomal RNA, 406 nt
Filed under: Panagrolaimus sp. ES6
Lineage: Eukaryota; Metazoa; Nematoda; Chromadorea; Rhabditida; Panagrolaimidae
Description: SSU rRNA
Rfam family: Eukaryotic small subunit ribosomal RNA
Source: RNAcentral
GGUAAUUCUGGAGCUAAUACAUGCACAAAAGUUGAAUCUUAUGGAUUCAAUGCGUAUAUUAGUUGAAAACCAAGCAUCUUCGGAUGUUUUGUGUUGAAACUGAAUAUAUCUGCUGAUCGUAUGGUCUUGUACCGACGACAUGUCAUUCAAGUGUCUGAUCUAUCAACUUUCUAUAUAAGUAUAUAGUACUUAUAUGGUUUUGACGGAUAACGGAGUAUUAGGGUACGACUCCGGAGAAAAUGCCUGAGAAACGGCGUUUACAUCCAAGGAAGGCAGCAGGCGCGAAAAUUACCCACUCUCAGUUCGAGGAGGUAGUGACGAGAAAUGACAAGAUCUAUUCCUUCGGGGAUGGAUCAUUGGAAUGGUUUGAUUUUAAAACCAUUAAAGAGUAUCAAUGAGAGGGCAA